AGAUUACUGCUAUCGGUGUUCGCCUAAGCCAUGCGAGUCAUAUGUUCUUCGUGAACAUGGCGUACUGCUCAGUAACACGUGGAUAACCUGCCCUUGGGUCCGGCAUAACCCCGGGAAACUGGGAAUAAUUCCGGAUAACGCACAUAUGCUGGAAUGCUUUAUGCGUCAAAUGGAUUCGUCCGCCCAAGGAUGGGUCUGCGGCCUAUCAGGUAGUAGUGGGUGUAAUGUACCUACUAGCCUACGACGGGUACGGGUUGUGAGAGCAAGAGCCCGGAGAUGGAUUCUGAGACAUGAAUCCAGGCCCUACGGGGCGCAGCAGGCGCGAAAACUUUACAAUGCGGGAAACCGUGAUAAGGGGACACCGAGUGCCAGCAUCAUAUGCUGGCUGUCCGGGUGUGUAAAAUACACCUGUUAGCAAGGGCCGGGCAAGACCGGUGCCAGCCGCCGCGGUAACACCGGCGGCCCGAGUGGUGAUCGUGAUUAUUGGGUCUAAAGGGUCCGUAGCCGGUUUGGUCAGUCCUCCGGGAAAUCUGACGGCUUAACCGUUAGGCUUUCGGGGGAUACUGCCAGACUUGGAACCGGGAGAGGUAAGAGGUACUACAGGGGUAGGAGUGAAAUCUUGUAAUCCCUGUGGGACCACCUGUGGCGAAGGCGUCUUACCAGAACGGGUUCGACGGUGAGGGACGAAAGCUGGGGGCACGAACCGGAUUAGAUACCCGGGUAGUCCCAGCCGUAAACGAUGCUCGCUAGGUGUCAGGCAUGGCGCGACCGUGUCUGGUGCCGCAGGGAAGCCGUGAAGCGAGCCACCUGGGAAGUACGGCCGCAAGGCUGAAACUUAA
RNAcentral lists this ribosomal RNA (839 nucleotides) under uncultured archaeon. RNAcentral's name for it is "bacterial SSU rRNA". It matches the Rfam family "Archaeal small subunit ribosomal RNA", at positions 21 to 859 of the family's 1478-position model. The record is from RNAcentral.